This is a non-coding RNA of Ictidomys tridecemlineatus (thirteen-lined ground squirrel), 1653 nucleotides long. The record is from RefSeq and is a predicted model, not a curated record. NCBI's taxonomy places the organism in Eukaryota, Metazoa, Chordata, Mammalia, Rodentia, Sciuridae.
UGUCUCUGUACCUUGUCUCUGUCUACUUAUUAUUAUUAUUUCUUUACAGCUGGUGACCAACUUUGGGGCAUGAGAAGAGUUCUCUCUCCAAAAGUCCUCCUAGUCCACAGAGAGUUUGGGACAAUACAAUCCACCUUAAUAAAGACCCUUCUGAACAUUGACAGGAAAAUCCCACUAAACAAAAGGACAAUGAUCACUCUCCUCGAAAAGGAAGAUACACUGAAAGAGGAUCCCAAGCUACCAGACUUCCAGUGACGUGGGGGAUUACAAAAUCAUUAACAGCAUCAGCUCAACGGCUGUUGGCUCAAAUGGAAUUAAAAUGUACUCCAGAAAACUUAGUUACUGCUUUAAUUGAUAAAUUCACACAAAACUUGGUAAAUGCUUUGGUCUUAAUAAGAAUGUUGUUCUCUUGUUGUACCCCAGCCGUGGGAAAUUCAGUACAGACUCCUUGACUUCUAAAACCCAUUAUAAUAUCUGGGUUCACUUGGCUAAAAUUGCUAUAUACCUGCAAAAAUGUCUCAUGGUACACAAAUUGUCUUAACAGACUAACUGUGUUCUCACCAACCCCACAGUAUUUAAUAGGUCACCAUCCUGUGCAAUGUAUCCAUAAAGGUCUAUUCCCCUUGAUAAAAACUGCGAUAAUUCAAUAAACCUUCUCUCUAAAGCAAAGUUUAACAUUUUCCUUAGUGAGUAUCCCUGGACUAGCUGUCAGGGCUUCCAAAACAAUUAUAAAACUGUCCUGUGCUAUGGUAAAAAAAAUAUUAAUCAUACCUGUAUGGCAAUUAAUAUGCCUAAUGUAGAACAAGAACAUCAUCAAGCCAUAUUUGACAACUGAGUUGCAAUUGAUUUUUUUCUUAUUAUUACAUCAUAAAAGAUGUCAGGAGUUUAAUAAUAUAUGUUACUUCAUUUUAAGUGAUAAUAAUAAUUCUAUCUCAAAGGAGUUUUACUCCUUUGAAGAUAUCAUUAUAAGGGUCCAACAAGAUGAUAGAGGUUUAGACUUAUUAGAUUGGCUAAAUUCAUGGUUACCAACUUUACUUGGGUUAAUUAUUUAUAGGUAGAUGUUUAUUAAUAUUGGGAUUAUUACGUUGUGCUUGCUGUUGCCAAUGUUUACCCUAUUUUUUGCCCCCACCAACAUUUAAAAAAAAAGAAAAGAAACAUUAUUUAUCUGAAAGUCCUUAAAAAAACAAGAAAGGGGAGCUGUGGGGGUUCUAUGUUUGGGAUUGCAGUCCCUGAUGACUUCAUGGUAGUGGCACGCUUGGUGCCUGGGAAAGUUUCUCUGCAAAGGCAUAGGAUGCCUGGUUGCUAUGGUAAUUUCCUCCAUGCUAGAGUCUUAUCAAGUUCGACCUUAAUCUUAGGCACAUAAUUCGUGGGAAUAAAGGAUCUUGUCUGCUUGAUAACUACAAUGUUUCACCAAGCUCUGGUACUCCUGGAUCUGCCUGCUUAACAAUAACUUCAACAAUGAACCUUCUUGAAAACUGUGCAAAGCUCCUGACGUUGCAUACUGUAACUGUGAAAUCUAACUGCAGAAUAAACAACCUUACUGAUACUUUAGACAAUAAUUAGCUAUGGUACUAAUGACCUAAUGUAACCUAUUGGUAAAUAAACGUGGCCACUUGGACAAAGAGCCAGUCUGCCACCUUCCCUGUCUCUGAA